RNAcentral lists this ribosomal RNA (520 nucleotides) under uncultured Glomus. RNAcentral describes it as "SSU rRNA". It matches the Rfam family "Eukaryotic small subunit ribosomal RNA", at positions 569 to 1089 of the family's 1831-position model. The record is from RNAcentral. Lineage: Eukaryota; Fungi; Glomeromycota; Glomeromycetes; Glomerales; Glomeraceae.
AGCAGCCGCGGUAAUUCCAGCUCCAAUAGCGUAUAUUAAAGUUGUUGCAGUUAAAAGCUCGUAGUUGAAUUUCGGGACCAAUCUGCCGGUCGUGCCUCCGGUACGCACUGGUUUUAUUGGUUUCUCCCUUCUGACGAACCAUGAUGUCAUUAAUUUGGUGUCAUGGGGAAUCAGGACUGUUACUUUGAAAAAAUUAGAGUGUUUAUAGCAGGCCCACGCUUGAAUACAUUAGCAUGGAAUAAUGAAAUAGGACGUUUGACCCUAUUUUGUUGGUUUCUAGGAUCGACGUAAUGAUUAAUAGGGAUAGUUGGGGGCAUUAGUAUUCAAUUGUCAGAGGUGAAAUUCUUGGAUUUAUUGAAGACUAACUACUGCGAAAGCAUUUGCCAAGGAUGUUUUCAUUAAUCAAGAACGAAAGUUAGGGGAUCGAAGACGAUCAGAUACCGUCGUAGUCUUAACCAUAAACUAUGCCGACUAGGGAUCGGAUGAUGUUAAUUUUUUUCAAUGACUCAUUCGGCGCCUU